Molecule: long non-coding RNA, 361 nt
Organism: Hirundo rustica (Barn swallow)
Lineage: Eukaryota; Metazoa; Chordata; Aves; Passeriformes; Hirundinidae
Exons: 4
Source: RefSeq, a predicted model, not a curated record
CUUGCCUGGCAGUGCUGCAUCCAAGCUCUGCCUUUCUGCAACAGAGGCUCUUCCCUUGAAGUUCACUGCAGCCAGAAACUCAGAAGACAACAUGAGCAGUGUGCUCAUGCAGCUGGAUACUUCCAUGAAUAAAGCAUCCAUUGUUUAAAAACGAACACUCUCCACUGAACUAACACUUUACAAUAAAGCCUCCAACGAAGCCCUGCUGGGAUUUUUAGCACUCUCCUUCUGAACCCAGAUCUCCUAGUGUGUGGAUAUUAAGGGCUAGAUUCUCUUGGGAACAGUGGAGGAAUGAACUACAGAAGAGUCAUUUGGAGAUACCAGACUCUACAACUUCUUCUCUGUGGUCCCUGGACAAAAG